Molecule: ribosomal RNA, 510 nt
Filed under: uncultured bacterium
Lineage: Bacteria
Description: bacterial SSU rRNA
Rfam family: Bacterial small subunit ribosomal RNA
Source: RNAcentral
UGGGCGCAAGCCUGAUCCAGCAAUGCCGCGUGCAGGAUGAAGGCCUUCGGGUUGUAAACUGCUUUUGUACGGAACGAAAAGCUUUGGGUUAAUACCCUGGAGUCAUGACGGUACCGUAAGAAUAAGCACCGGCUAACUACGUGCCAGCAGCCGCGGUAAUACGUAGGGUGCAAGCGUUAAUCGGAAUUACUGGGCGUAAAGCGUGCGCAGGCGGUUUUGUAAGACAGAGGUGAAAUCCCCGGGCUCAACCUGGGAACUGCCUUUGUGACUGCAAGGCUAGAGUACGGCAGAGGGGGAUGGAAUUCCGCGUGUAGCAGUGAAAUGCGUAGAUAUGCGGAGGAACACCGAUGGCGAAGGCAAUCCCCUGGGCCUGUACUGACGCUCAUGCACGAAAGCGUGGGGAGCAAACAGGAUUAGAUACCCUGGUAGUCCACGCCCUAAACGAUGUCAACUGGUUGUUGGGUCUUAACUGACUCAGUAACGAAGCUAACGCGUGAAGUUGACCGCCUG